This 346-nucleotide long non-coding RNA is filed under the name Setaria viridis. RNAcentral describes it as "long non-coding RNA (SVIR_LNC007280)". Lineage: Eukaryota; Viridiplantae; Streptophyta; Magnoliopsida; Poales; Poaceae. The record is from RNAcentral.
UGGAAUUAAAUUGUGGUCAUCUGUAGAUUUGAGGAGUAAAAUUCAUUUGGAUCUAUUUUUGGCUCCAUAGUUCCCAUGCACUAUAGUCAUCCUGAAGAUUUACUACAUCAGCCAGCUGGGUGUCGAGUCUGUUAGACGGAUAUGCUGCGAUGAAGUAUGGACUAUGUUCUUUAGCUUGAGCUAUUGUAGCUAAUGAUCUUUGCCUAUUGAUUGUUUGUUUAAUUGUCUCUGUCUACUUUAAUAUCAUAUUCAUGUUACUCUCAAAUGUAGAAUCAAAAUGACACUUUAAUAGCUGAAUGUAGAAUUAAGUGGGCAUGUUCUCCGAAGUACAUACAUGGCAUAAUCC